RNAcentral lists this ribosomal RNA (253 nucleotides) under uncultured bacterium. RNAcentral describes it as "partial 16S ribosomal RNA". It matches the Rfam family "Bacterial small subunit ribosomal RNA", at positions 524 to 776 of the family's 1533-position model. The record is from RNAcentral.
UACGUAGGGGGCAAGCGUUGUCCGGACUUACUGGGCGUAAAGCGCGCGCAGGCGGACCUGUAUGUGCCGUGUGAAAGCGCCGGACUUACUUCGGCGAGGUCAUGGUAGACAGCAGGUCUGGAGCCUCGGAGAGGUCGGUGGAAUUCCGGGUGGAGCGGUGAAAUGCGUAGAGAUCCGGAGGAACACCAGGGGCGAAGGCGCCACUCUGGGCCGAAACUGACGCUGAGGAGCGAAAGCGUGGGUAGCAAACAGG